This 252-nucleotide ribosomal RNA is filed under the name uncultured bacterium. Its description in RNAcentral is "partial 16S ribosomal RNA". It matches the Rfam family "Bacterial small subunit ribosomal RNA", at positions 524 to 776 of the family's 1533-position model. The record is from RNAcentral.
UACGUAGGGUGCGAGCGUUGUCCGGAAUUACUGGGCGUAAAGAGCUCGUAGGUGGUUGUCGCGUUGUUCGUGAAAACCGGGGGCUUAACCCUCGGCGUGCGGGCGAUACGGGCAGACUUGAGUACUGCAGGGGAGACUGGAAUUCCUGGUGUAGCGGUGAAAUGCGCAGAUAUCAGGAGGAACACCGGUGGCGAAGGCGGGUCUCUGGGCCGAUACUGACGCUGAGGAGCGAAAGCGUGGGGAGCGAACAGG